GUUUCAGUCUCCUAAAACUCCGCAAUCAGGAACACACUCUCCUGCUCAAAGCUCAGCUGUUGCUCACCGUUUUUUGGGGAAAUGUGGCGUAAUGUUUAGGAAAACCUGGCAUGAGAGCAAGCUGGUUCUCGUCGGUACCAUCUUUACCAUCCCACCUUCAGAAGUGGCAUGUCAUCUUUGUGUAACCUAUUGCCGAGACUGGUAUGGCUUUCUGAGUGCACCUUUUACAUGGGACCUGCUCCUUCUCCUCCCCCUCUGUUUCUUUUAUGCACACAUGUGGGCCAGAGCAGGCUUUUUGACAGAUGAGAAUUAAACAAAUGUAUCUGCUGGAGCUGGAGAAUAUUACACCCCUGGGACUUCAUUUACCUCCCGCAUAUUCCAGGGAGUUCCUCUCUGUUUUACUGCCCCACAUAAUCUACAUCAGCUAUACUCACACAGAGGACUGGCUCAGGCUCCAGCAGCACUGCUGACAUCAUUAUUACCAAGAUCAUUAUAGGCAGCAGGGAGAGCUU
This is a long non-coding RNA of Trichomycterus rosablanca, 512 nucleotides long. RefSeq lists it as uncharacterized. The record is from RefSeq and is a predicted model, not a curated record. The transcript has 4 exons. Lineage: Eukaryota; Metazoa; Chordata; Actinopteri; Siluriformes; Trichomycteridae.